CGGGGGGCCGCUCAUAUUCUGGCAGGGGCUGCGGGAUCCCAAGUCGGAGUAGGGGAGAGGCUGAGCCAGGGGCGAGGGGAGCGGGAGAGGGAGAAACAAGGCGAGCGGGUUUGCGUAGGCAGAGUGCGGCAGCGGCAACAGCACGUGACUUCGUCGGGGCCCAGUGAGCCUCCACAGGUCGUCCCCGCAACAGCGGCAGAGGCAGCCGAUGCAGUUGCUUGGUCUGGCCUCGGCGGGGCGUUGCUCACCAAGCUUGAGCAGAAGGUGGAGCUGUGGGUUUAGUACGGCUGCAGUUUAAGCAGAGGCAGCUUGGGAGGGGCUGGUGCGACAGAUGAGGACAGGCUGGCGAUGAUGCUCUGACUGCGGCGACGACUACGGGGCUAGCUGAUGUAACAACUACUGGGGAGCAACGGUCUCGUUGGUCC
This 425-nucleotide ribosomal RNA is filed under the name Triticum aestivum (bread wheat). Its description in RNAcentral is "partial small subunit ribosomal RNA". The record is from RNAcentral. Lineage: Eukaryota; Viridiplantae; Streptophyta; Magnoliopsida; Poales; Poaceae.